This 472-nucleotide ribosomal RNA is filed under the name uncultured bacterium. Its description in RNAcentral is "bacterial SSU rRNA". It matches the Rfam family "Bacterial small subunit ribosomal RNA", at positions 355 to 825 of the family's 1533-position model. The record is from RNAcentral.
UGGGGAAUAUUGGACAAUGGGCGAAAGCCUGAUCCAGCCAUGCCGCGUGUGUGAAGAAGGUCUUCGGAUUGUAAAGCACUUUAAGUUGGGAGGAAGGGCAUUUACCUAAUACGUAAGUGUUUUGACGUUACCGACAGAAUAAGCACCGGCUAACUCUGUGCCAGCAGCCGCGGUAAUACAGAGGGUGCAAGCGUUAAUCGGAAUUACUGGGCGUAAAGCGCGCGUAGGUGGUUUGUUAAGUUGGAUGUGAAAGCCCCGGGCUCAACCUGGGAACUGCAUCCAAAACUGGCAAGCUAGAGUACGGUAGAGGGUGGUGGAAUUUCCUGUGUAGCGGUGAAAUGCGUAGAUAUAGGAAGGAACACCAGUGGCGAAGGCGACCACCUGGACUGAUACUGACACUGAGGUGCGAAAGCGUGGGGAGCAAACAGGAUUAGAUACCCCCGUAGUCCCUGAGCGGGCUGGCAAGGCGCAU